CAGCAGCCGCCGCGGUAAUACGGAGGGUGCAAGCGUUAAUCGGAAUUACUGGGCGUAAAGCGCACGCAGGCGGUCUGACAAGUCAGAUGUGAAAUCCCCGGGCUUAACCUGGGAACUGCAUUUGAAACUGUCAGGCUGGAGUCUUGUAGAGGGGGGUAGAAUUCCAGGUGUAGCGGUGAAAUGCGUAGAGAUCUGGAGGAAUACCGGUGGCGAAGGCGGCCCCCUGGACAAAGACUGACGCUCAGGUGCGAAAGCGUGGGGAGCAAACAGGAUUAGAUACCCGAGUAGUCCCUGUCUCUUAUAC
Molecule: ribosomal RNA, 304 nt
Filed under: uncultured bacterium
Lineage: Bacteria
Description: partial 16S ribosomal RNA
Rfam family: Bacterial small subunit ribosomal RNA
Source: RNAcentral